RNAcentral lists this ribosomal RNA (433 nucleotides) under uncultured bacterium. RNAcentral's name for it is "partial 16S ribosomal RNA". It matches the Rfam family "Bacterial small subunit ribosomal RNA", at positions 29 to 507 of the family's 1533-position model. The record is from RNAcentral.
AACGAACGCUGGCGGCAUGCCUAACACAUGCAAGUCGAACGAGACCUUCGGGUCUAGUGGCGCACGGGUGCGUAACGCGUGGGAACCUGCCCUUAGGUUCGGAAUAACUCCCCGAAAGGGGUGCUAAUACCGGAUAAUGUCUUCGGACCAAAGAUUUAUCGCCUUUGGAUGGGCCCGCGUUGGAUUAGCUAGUUGGUAGGGUAAAAGCCUACCAAGGCGACGAUCCAUAGCUGGUCUGAGAGGAUGAUCAGCCACACUGGGACUGAGACACGGCCCAGACAACUAAUGAAGGAAGAAGGGGGGGAUAUUGGAGAAGGGGUGAAAGUCAGAACCCGCAUUUCCGCGUGAGGGAAGAAGGACUUAGGGUUGUAAAGCUCCUUGACCCGGGAUGAGAAGAAGCGGACCUAAAGAAUAAGCUCCGAAUAACUCCGUG